RNAcentral lists this non-coding RNA (29 nucleotides) under Homo sapiens (human). The record is from RNAcentral. Lineage: Eukaryota; Metazoa; Chordata; Mammalia; Primates; Hominidae.
UACGACUGACUGUGCAGGCAAACUGGUGU